This 963-nucleotide ribosomal RNA is filed under the name Salmonella enterica. RNAcentral describes it as "partial 23S ribosomal RNA". It matches the Rfam family "Bacterial large subunit ribosomal RNA", at positions 579 to 1547 of the family's 2925-position model. Lineage: Bacteria; Pseudomonadati; Pseudomonadota; Gammaproteobacteria; Enterobacterales; Enterobacteriaceae. The record is from RNAcentral.
GCUUAGUGGUGGGGUGACUGCGUACCUUUUGUAUAAUGGGUCAGCGACUUAUAUUCUGUAGCAAGGUUAACCGUAUAGGGGAGCCGGAGGGAAACCGAGUCUUAAUUGGGCGUUAAGUUGCAGGGUAUAGACCCGAAACCCGGUGAUCUAGCCAUGGGCAGGUUGAAGGUUGGGUAACACUAACUGGAGGACCGAACCGACUAAUGUUGAAAAAUUAGCGGAUGACCUGUGGCUGGGGGUGAAAGGCCAAUCAAACCGGGAGAUAGCUGGUUCUCCCCGAAAGCUAUUUAGGUAGCGCCUCGUGAAUUCAUCUCCGGGGGUAGAGCACUGUUUCGGCUAGGGGGCCAUCCCGGCUUACCAACCCGAUGCAAACUGCGAAUACCGGAGAAUGUUAUCACGGGAGACACACGGCGGGUGCUAACGUCCGUCGUGAAGAGGGAAACAACCCAGACCGCCAGCUAAGGUCCCAAAGUCAUGGUUAAGUGGGAAACGAUGUGGGAAGGCCCAGACAGCCAGGAUGUUGGCUUAGAAGCAGCCAUCAUUUAAAGAAAGCGUAAUAGCUCACUGGUCGAGUCGGCCUGCGCGGAAGAUGUAACGGGGCUAAACCAUGCACCGAAGCUGCGGCAGCGACACUGUGUGUUGUUGGGUAGGGGAGCGUUCUGUAAGCCUGCGAAGGUGGCCUGUGAGGGUUGCUGGAGGUAUCAGAAGUGCGAAUGCUGACAUAAGUAACGAUAAAGCGGGUGAAAAGCCCGCUCGCCGGAAGACCAAGGGUUCCUGUCCAACGUUAAUCGGGGCAGGGUGAGUCGACCCCUAAGGCGAGGCCGAAAGGCGUAGUCGAUGGGAAACGGGUUAAUAUUCCCGUACUUGGUGUUACUGCGAAGGGGGGACGGAGAAGGCUAUGUUGGCCGGGCGACGGUUGUCCCGGUUUAAGCGUGUAGGUGUGUGUUCCAGGUAAAUCCGGUU